RNAcentral lists this long non-coding RNA (239 nucleotides) under Penaeus monodon (black tiger shrimp). RNAcentral describes it as "uncharacterized LOC119590851, transcript variant X1". Lineage: Eukaryota; Metazoa; Arthropoda; Malacostraca; Decapoda; Penaeidae. The record is from RNAcentral.
CUGUUACCCUUCCCUGGUAAACAGGUAUCAGCUGAUUGUGUUAGCUCAUCUCGAUAGUAAAUCAUUGUGGGCUGAUAACUCCCACACCAUAUUGCUGAUGGAAUGUAAGGAAAGCAGUGGACCAGUUGCCAAGGGUGUCAGUAUUCUUAUUCUUCCUUGCCAUUUGAUCUAUUAAAAAAUCAUCCCCUUUGACAUAAAAGAAUAGAAUUACAGUAUAGUGAAUGUCAUUUUAUGUUCUG